GCUCAAUCAGGCUGCAACCGCGUCGGCCUUGGCGAGCUCGACAAAAAGGUGGGUGGCCACGAGCUCAAUCAGGCUGCAACUGCCUCAGCACCGGUGCCGCCGCUCUUUUGGCUCCGCUUCUCCGGCGGUAAAGGCCGCGGCGGCGGGCUUCUUUGCCAUCCUGCUGCACCUAUAGAGAGAUAGAUAGGAUUAGGGAGGAGAAUCGCAGGGGCGAAAGUCAUGGAUCGGCGCUGCUCGGCCCAAUUUUAUAAGGAGGACGCCGCCCUCCUCUGCCUCACAUCCUCUGCUUCUGGGCUGGUGCAGCUGGAGUAUCUCCGCGUGAUCUCUCCGAUGGCAACAAGCAGCACUUGCGUGACCUACUCCAGUUUCACGAUCUAUCCCCACAGCUGCUCACCCCAGGGAACCAAGAUGCAGGCGUGAAGGAUAUCAAUAAACAGUAUCCACCAUAUUAGAGGCAUGAGCUUCUUUAUCUUUGUGAAGAUAGGCAGAAAUCUGUUGGUGAUCAAUCAAAGACAUAAACAUUGACAACAGAUUUUUAUUAGCUUGGAUCCUAUGAACUACUUUGAUUAGAAGUCCGAAGUCGAUCUCAUCUCAUUAAUAAUUCAGUGUAAGGACAUAUGUAUUUGAUAGUUUUAAUAUGUGAUGCAUUUCUUUUUAAACGUACUGAAUUAACAAAAAAGGCAUUGUUUGAAAGAUGAUACAAUGUUGCAACUAACUCAUUGUGCGAUUUUAUUUGUCAAAUAAGGUCAAUAAUGUGAUGACAUAGUUCCAGAUGUACACUAGCAUGAGAUUACCCUACCCAAUGUAAUUUCUCAUCUCACUGUUGUGCCAUUCAAAUUCUGUUACAUGCGUGCUACAUACAUGCAUAUAUUCAUUUAUUUUUAAGAUAUAUGUUCAUAAAGAAGUAUUUAUCCCCCUAAUCUUUCUAUUAUAUUAUGUACAUGAAUAGUCAAAAUCUCAUAAUCUGAUGCUGCUAAGGUUGGAAGGGCUUCCAACAAUGUUGCUACUGGUUGUUUUGUUUUGCUUGUCGCGCACCAGCUGUCAUGUGAUAACUAUAAGAUUUCCUUCACUAGGCUAGGAAUUAACUAUCCAUUCUCACUCCGUUUAUAUUCUCCAGCAACCAGUCAUAUUGCACGAGAGAAAAUCUGAACAUCCAGUCCAUAUAAAUAGUUGAAUCUUGUGUGUUGUUAGUUAUUAGGAGAUAAUCCAAGCUAACUCACUUGGCUAGGAAUUAGGAACAACUUAGUGCAUACUGAUUCCUGCAUGGUUUGCAAUGCUUCAGCCAAUAGAUGGUGGUCUUGCACAGGUGGCAAAGAAAUGCCAGGAAGCAGACUGCUAUGGGUUGUUACUUGAGCAUUGGUCUUCUCCCAGCUUUUCUUUUUUUAGCAUGUUGAUAUUUUUUUGUGAAAACUAAGAGGACCAGAAGCAACUUGUAAGCACGUAUAUUUUGCAGCACGUGAUCUGAAAAUCAAUUUUCAUCUAAUCUUAUUGUCUACAGGUUGAUAGGUUUACUGCCAGGUUCAGAUCUUCCGCUCACGAAAUUUGCCCUUUCGGGCAGCAUACAUCAUAACUUAAACUCGGCUUUGAUGGUACAAUACUGAAGUGUUUGAUGGAUCGUGGAUUCAUGUUAAUUGAUGCAAGCUCCGUGCAAUAUGGUCACUGAGCCUGAACCCAACGAUGUUAUCUAGGUAAGGUACCAAACUCCACCGUUACCGCUUGUGUUACCGCUUCUACUUUGUUCCUUCACUUGCUGCUAUACAAGUAUAGUAUUCAUUCGUUGGACUUUUUACUACUAGAGUAGGUAUCUAAUAAUGCACUAUGAAGAAUAUUCUUAAAGAACUGCAAGACC
Molecule: long non-coding RNA, 1849 nt
Organism: Lolium rigidum
Lineage: Eukaryota; Viridiplantae; Streptophyta; Magnoliopsida; Poales; Poaceae
Exons: 4
Source: RefSeq, a predicted model, not a curated record